UUAUGGCUCAGGACGAACGCUGGCGGCGUGCUUCAUACAUGCAAGUCGAACGAGAAGCUGACUUCGGUCAGUGGAAAGUGGCGGACGGGUGAGUAAUACGUAGAGAAUCUGCCCUUGAGUGGGGGACAACAGAGGGAAACUUCUGCUAAUACCCCAUAUGAGCUAACUUGAAAUAGUUAUCUUGAAAACUCCGGUGCUCAAGGAUGAGUCUGCAUCUGAUUAGCUAGUUGGCGGUGUAAUGGACCACCAAGGCGACGAUCAGUAGCUGGUUUGAGAGGAUGAUCAGCCACAAUGGGACUGAGACACGGCCCAUACUCCUACGGGAGGCAGCAGUAGGGAAUUUUGCGCAAUGGGCGAAAGCCCUGACGCAGCAACGCCGCGUGAACGAUUAAGCCCUUCGGGGUGUAAAGUUCUGUCAGUAGGGACGAAUUUUGACGGUACCUACAGAGGAAGCACCGGCUAACUCCGUGCCAGCCGCCGC
Molecule: ribosomal RNA, 481 nt
Filed under: uncultured bacterium
Lineage: Bacteria
Description: bacterial SSU rRNA
Rfam family: Bacterial small subunit ribosomal RNA
Source: RNAcentral